This 225-nucleotide ribosomal RNA is filed under the name uncultured Actinomycetales bacterium. RNAcentral's name for it is "partial 16S ribosomal RNA". It matches the Rfam family "Bacterial small subunit ribosomal RNA", at positions 106 to 334 of the family's 1533-position model. Lineage: Bacteria; Bacillati; Actinomycetota; Actinomycetes; Actinomycetales. The record is from RNAcentral.
GUGAGUAACACGUGGGUGAUCUGCCCUGCACUUCGGGAUAAGCUUGGGAAACUGGGUCUAAUACCGGAUAGGAGCCAUCUUUAGUGUGGUGGUUGGAAAGUUUUUUCGGUGUAGGAUGAGCUCGCGGCCUAUCAGCUUGUUGGUGGGGUAAUGGCCUACCAAGGCGGCGACGGGUAGCCGGCCUGAGAGGGUGUACGGCCACAUUGGGACUGAGAUACGGCCCAG